UGAGUCUUCUCGUUUAAUGAGGUAAAACAAUUCGUCCCAAAUCUGUCCCGCCAUGAUCUGACACUACAACAAAAAUGGUCUAUAGCGACACUUUUAAAUGUAGGUACAUGUCAAAAAAGUGCUGCUAGCUAAAAUUACCGACACUUUUAAAAAGUGUUGCUAUAUGUGGGGUCGCUAGGUAUAUAGUGACAGUUAAAGAGUGUCGCUAUAAUCUAAAAGAGUGCUGCUAAUUUACCAACAACUUAUUUAAGCAUUUAGCAACCGCCGAAACUCUAUCUCGUUGGCUGCGGUGGCGGAGGAGGACGACAGGAAUGGCUCUUCGUCUAGAAUUUCAGUAGAUUGAGUGAAGAGAGAAAAAAAUAUGGUAAUUGAUUUUUCUUUUUUUUUUCUUUUCUGUUUGUAAUCGGGCCAAAUGGACUGGAUGUGGUGGGUUGAGUAGAGUAAUCUUUUAUUUUUGGUUGGAUUGAGAUUUAUAUUUAGGCAUUAGUAGAUGUUUCUUUAAGUUUUAGUAUAAAUGGGACACUUACUCAAAAGUGUCCCAAACAUGUGUCCCUAUAACCUAAUUCUGUUGUAGUGUGAUCUGAAUCCGCCUCAAAAAUAUGUAUAUUUUUAAAAAGAAUUAAUUGCAUACAGCUCCCUAUAAACAUAUCGAAUAGCGGAUAUAUCCAUACAAAGUUUAACUUUUCAUAUUUAUCUUCCAAUCUGUUCCAAAUGAGACAGAGACAACAAAUA
This 732-nucleotide long non-coding RNA is filed under the name Ananas comosus (pineapple). Its description in RNAcentral is "long non-coding RNA (ACOM_LNC031184)". The record is from RNAcentral. Lineage: Eukaryota; Viridiplantae; Streptophyta; Magnoliopsida; Poales; Bromeliaceae.